This 2593-nucleotide long non-coding RNA is filed under the name Nicotiana benthamiana. Its description in RNAcentral is "long non-coding RNA (NBEN_LNC012329)". The record is from RNAcentral. Lineage: Eukaryota; Viridiplantae; Streptophyta; Magnoliopsida; Solanales; Solanaceae.
CAACGGCCCAGAUUAAGAGAUCAAUUUUAAUAUACCAAAACCCACCCCAGACCCUCAAAUUCGGAUUCAUUCACACACCUCUUCACCAGUCGUCUCUCGUAGAGAACCAAACGACCCUGAAACCCUAGCGCCUCCCUCAUUUUCCUUCACCAUAAAACCGGCGAUCGGUGGUCCAACAGCCACCCAAAUAACACCCUUGAACCUCCAAACCAUCCUCUUUCCAAAUCCCUACCCCUUAUCCUUCGAAUCAUCCCCAAUAUUCUCGAAUUUUCAAUCAAAAGAUUCGAGCCAAACCCUUCCUUGCCCGAUCCACCCAAAAAUCACACCCUGAGCCCUCCCUGACUCUCUUACCUCAAAUCCUUGGUGGGUUUCCCUCAAAUGUUGGCAUAGAUCCUCAGAUCUCAAAUCCAAGAACGAACCCUAAAAUGCCUAAACUCUCAAUUCGUUCGAAUGGGGAAGAUUUUUGACCGAAUUAGACCUUAGUCCUAUGUUUUCAUACUGAAAACAUAGGAUUAAGGUCCACUCCGGCCAAAAGAAUUGGAGACUUCUUGGAUUUGUUCAAAUAUGGCCAGUUCUCCGGGUAUUUCUUCUUUCCGUAUUUUUGUUUUUGUUAUUGUUUCUUUUAGUUCCUUUAUGUUUUAGUUUAGUCGUUUGAAUCCUCGUCUUUUAUCUGUUCUUCUUCUCGUUCUUCAUUUCUACCCGUGUGAAUUAAACAUGUUCAUAUGAGAUCAGUUCAUCACAAUGUUGAAUUUGCUUAGUUUGAUUUAAUUUUGUCAAAUGUUUGAAAUGCUUAAAUGAGUCACUAUUGAAUCAAACUGCCUAGCCAUUAAAGUGUCAAGAAUUGAUUAUUACCUUUGGUGUCAAUUUGUACCAUAUAUUGAUCGAUUUGGGAGUUUGCUUAAGGGAUGAAUUUGAUUUAAUUCACUACCUUAAACUGUUAAAUUUUAAUGGAAGCCAUGUGAUUAUUCAGGUUGUCCGCAUGCCGUAGUGAAACAUUUAAUUCAUUUUUCUAUCUGUUAUUUGAAUCCAUGUCAGCUACAUUUGAGUGGAAACAGGAUGGACUGUCAGGCACACCUGAUUCAACCUGCCCAUAUUUGUUUAGUUUAAUGAAAAGAAAAUACCUUAAUAAUAAAAGAAUGGGCUGUCAGGGGAAUCUCAAGGGGCAUACAUUUCUGAGUGGGAAAACAGAGAGAAUAACAUGAGGAUAAUCAGCUUUUAGUUAGUUAAGUGUAAAAAAAUAGGCUGAAAGUGGAUAGAGGAAGGAAUAAAGGAAUCUGAUCAGUUUUUAAAUAGGAACAUGUUGUAAAGAGAUUUGGAGUUUGGCUAUAAAUAGGAGGAUUGAACAUUGAAUUAGGGACAGAUUUUAAGCAUCAAAAUUGAGUUUAAGAGUAAACAAGACUGGGUUUUUUAACAUCAGAAGUUCAGAGAGUUUAGGAGAGCAAGUUUUCAGAAAGCAUCAGUAUUUUCUAGAAGCUUGAAGAUUAUUGACUGUUUGAUUGAAGCUUUCCUUCUGUUUCCCUACUUUCACUUUUCUGAUUCAAGUUCUUUGGAUUGAUUUGAGUGAUUUUGAGGUCAGUUGAGUCUAUGUGAUUUUGAGGUCUGUUGAGUCUAUUGUUGAUUGAACCUUAGUUUGUUGAAACCUUAAGAGUUUCUGGGUGCAUCUUCUUUUCUUGUUUGGUUUUGGUAUUGUUGGAAUCAUCCCUGUUGGUGUUCAAAUAUGUUACUGGGUUGUUGCUAGUUUUGUUGCUUUUGUUAUUGUUGAAUGUGUUAAUGUGUUAAGUGCUGCUGCCAUUACUGAUCUUCAUCUCCUUCCUUGCUUUUUCCCAAAUUUCAGGUACACACAAUUGAUAUAUUGGUUCAAUGUAGCUAAAACUUGAAGCAUGAAUAAAAGGAUAUGAAGAAUUGGAAUUGGAACUUAUUGUAGUUUUCUUCUCUGUUUUUGUUGGUUGUAGUUUAAGACAUUCUGUAUACUUGGUAUGUAAACUUUGCCAUCAAACUGCAUAACUGGACAGUAAUUACCCUAUAGUGGUUUAGUUAGUUAAAUUUCUUAUGUAUGCUAUUAGAAAAGAAUUAAUGAUGUAGUAGUAUACUGCCAUCAAACGUCCCAUAUAGGCUUAAUCGAAAAGUGAUAAUGUAGCAACCAUGUUCAUUUACCUCAGAUUGCUCAUUGGGUAGUAUAUGGAUCAAAAAGCAUUCUGGUUGUUAAUUUAGUCUAUCUCAUUUGAUGAGUGGGCCAUCCGAAACUUGUAGCAACAUUGUUUAAAUUAGGUAGUGUUAAUUUUACCUUUUUCAGCCUUAUAAGUGUUAAAUAGGUGUAGAGUAAAUCGACUGAGCCCCCAUUAGAAUAAUGCCGGCCCAGGUCUAGUUUAUGCCGUAUACAAGGGUCCUGGGCCCAUAAUUGUCAAAUAGACUCCAUAUACAUGUCUCUUUUUCAGAUUUAACAAAUCACGUUCGGAACUCAACUAUAACAACUCGUGAGCAUGUAAAUAAGUUAGGAACUCUUUUUCUCUCAUUCUUUAGAGACGGACGGAAAAAUAGAAGAACAUAGUCACUUUAAGAUAUCCUUUAAAAUAAAAUGAUGUGUGCCUCACCG